RNAcentral lists this unclassified non-coding RNA (335 nucleotides) under soil metagenome. RNAcentral's name for it is "partial contains 5.8S ribosomal RNA, internal transcribed spacer 2, and large subunit ribosomal RNA". The stretch from base 1 to 120 matches the Rfam family "5.8S ribosomal RNA", at positions 35 to 154 of the family's 154-position model. The record is from RNAcentral.
GAUGAAGAACGUAGUGAAAUGCGAUAAGUAGUGUGAAUUGCAGAAUUCAGUGAAUCAUCGAAUCUUUGAACGCACAUUGCGCCCCUUGGUAUUCCAUGGGGCAUGCCUGUUCGAGCGUCAUUUGUACCUUCAAGCUCUGCUUGUGUUGGGGUCCUGCGGCUGCCCGCAGGCCCUGAAACCCAGUGGCGGGCUCGCUAGUCACACCGAGCGCAGUAGCACAUCUCGCUCAGGGCGUGCGGCGGGUUCUUGCCGUAAAACAACCCCCCCUUUUCACCAAGGUUGACCUCGGAUCAGGUAGGAAUACCCGCUGAACUUAAGCAUAUCAAAGCGGAGGA